ACAAACGACUCUCGGCAACGGAUAUCUCGGCUCACGCAUCGAUGAAGAACGUAGCAAAAUGCGAUACUUGGUGUGAAUUGCAGAAUCCCGUGAACCAUCGAGUUUUUGAACGCAAGUUGCGCCCGAAGCCAUUCGGCCGAGGGCACGUCUGCCUGGGCGUCACGCA
RNAcentral lists this ribosomal RNA (166 nucleotides) under Olearia tomentosa. RNAcentral's name for it is "5.8S ribosomal RNA". It matches the Rfam family "5.8S ribosomal RNA". Rfam says of the family: 5.8S ribosomal RNA (5.8S rRNA) is a component of the large subunit of the eukaryotic ribosome. It is transcribed by RNA polymerase I as part of the 45S precursor that also contains 18S and 28S rRNA. Lineage: Eukaryota; Viridiplantae; Streptophyta; Magnoliopsida; Asterales; Asteraceae. The record is from RNAcentral. RNAcentral also lists the same sequence under 25 other names.